This 497-nucleotide ribosomal RNA is filed under the name uncultured bacterium. RNAcentral describes it as "partial 16S ribosomal RNA". It matches the Rfam family "Bacterial small subunit ribosomal RNA", at positions 28 to 507 of the family's 1533-position model. The record is from RNAcentral.
GAUGAACGCUGGCGGCGUGCCUAAUACAUGCAAGUCGAGCGAACAGACGAGGAGCUUGCUCCUCUGACGUUGGCGGCGGACGGGUGAGUAACACGUGGAUAACCUACCUAUAAGACUGGGAUAACUUCGGGAAACCGGAGCUAAUACCGGAUAAUAUAUUGAACCGCAUGGUUCAAUAGUGAAAGACGGUUUUGCUGUCCCUUAUAGAUGGAUCCGCGCCGGAUUAGCUAGUUGGUAAGGUAACGGCUUACCAAGGCGACGAUGCGUAGCCGACCUGAGAGGGUGAUCGGCCACACUGGAACUGAGACACGGUCCAGACUCCUACGGGAGGCAGCAGUAGGGAAUCUUCCGCAAUGGGCGAAAGCCUGACGGAGCAACGCCGCGUGAGUGAUGAAGGUCUUCGGAUCGUAAAACUCUUUUAGUAGGGAAGAACAAAUGUGUAAGUAACUAUGCACGUCUUGACGGUACCUAAUCAGAAAGCCACGGCUAACUACGUG